Hypanus sabinus (Atlantic stingray) is the source of this 370-nucleotide long non-coding RNA. RefSeq lists it as uncharacterized. The transcript has 3 exons. NCBI's taxonomy places the organism in Eukaryota, Metazoa, Chordata, Chondrichthyes, Myliobatiformes, Dasyatidae. The record is from RefSeq and is a predicted model, not a curated record.
GGGUGUGAUCGUUUUUAACCGUAGCCACUUCGGCGCAUGCGUAUAUUCACCUGCUGGGCGCGACGAUUGGGACGUGCAUCAGGUGUUGCUCCUGAAAAACCAUGAGGGCGAAGUGGAGAAAGAAAAGAAUGCGGAGGCUAAAGCGCAAGCGAAGGAAGAUGAGAGCAAGGUCAAAGUGAAAUGUCAUUAAUUGCUGCAAGACUGCAGUGAUUGGCAGCUGAUUUAAAGUUCCACUUCAUCAAUGGUUAAUGACAGAUUUUCAAACUUGUGUUCUUCAGAAACUUUUUAUAUUGAUUACUUGACUUUUAUGAAUUGUUUUUGUUUAACAAAUUAAAGUUUAGGCAAUCUAAUGUGCUGUGUAAGAAAUGGC